Molecule: ribosomal RNA, 492 nt
Filed under: uncultured bacterium
Lineage: Bacteria
Description: partial 16S ribosomal RNA
Rfam family: Bacterial small subunit ribosomal RNA
Source: RNAcentral
AGUGAACGCUGGCGGUAGGCCUAACACAUGCAAGUCGAACGGCAGCACAGUAAGAGCUUGCUCUUACGGGUGGCGAGUGGCGGACGGGUGAGGAAUACAUCGGCAUCUACUUUUUCGUGGGGGAUAACGAAGGGAAACUUACGCUAAUACCGCAUACGACCUACGGGUGAAAGCAGUGGAUCUUCGGACCUUGCGCGAUUGAAUGAGCCGAUGUCGGAUUAGCUAGUUGGCGGGGUAAAGGCCCACCAAGGCGACGAUCCGUAGCUGGUCUGAGAGGAUGAUCAGCCACACUGGAACUGAGACACGGUCCAGACUCCUACGAGAGGCAGCAGUGGGGAAUAUUGGACAAUGGGCGCAAGCCUGAUCCAGACAUACCGCGUGGGUGAAGAAGGCCUUCGGGUUGUAAAGCCCUUUUGUUGGGAAAGAAAAGCAGCAGGUUAAUACCCCGCUGUUCUGACGGUACCCAAAGAAUAAGCACCGGCUAACUUCGUG